Molecule: long non-coding RNA, 684 nt
Organism: Lagenorhynchus albirostris (white-beaked dolphin)
Lineage: Eukaryota; Metazoa; Chordata; Mammalia; Artiodactyla; Delphinidae
Exons: 3
Source: RefSeq, a predicted model, not a curated record
CGUCCCCUUCCUCUUCCUCGGGCUCCGGCCCGCCCCAGAGACUGGGGCGGAGACCAGAGUGAGGCCCCUCCUUCCAGGGGCGGGGCAAGCAGACGGGCGGGGCGGGCGCGGGAGCAAAGCUCUGAGUCACCGGCCACCAACGCCCGGGAGGGAGGGUGGUGUCGCUUACCGCCUGGACCCGGAGCGCACCACCCCCUGAGCAGAAGAACUGGUCCACCAGCGCCUCGGCGCCCAGCGGGCAAGUGGCCAGAUGGUGAAUUAGAAAAUUUCUGACGUUUCCAUCCAAUCCCGCGCUUACCUCUCCCCCUUGGCUUUCUCUUAGCCUCGUCCCUCUGCUCUUGUUUCUUUUUCACAUCUCUCCUCCUCCACCCCAGAAGAAUUUGUUCUUAUCCUGUUUUAUCCUGGUUCUUGAUCACACCAGCUUUGCCCUAGUCAUUUCCCUCACAGACUCCCCCAAAGAGUUCAGCCUCCCAGCAGGGGUCUGGCCAAGUGAGCAGAGAUUUUGCUUUCCUGUCCUUUCUUCAUUGCAUACAUCCCCAAUACCAAGAGAAGUACUAUAUUUAGAGAAGCUUCUGCUUUUAAGCUCUAGAAAUUUAGACUCUGCCUCGGCCUCCACCACUGAUAUACUAUGAAAAUUAAAUGCAUCAUUUCAUGUAAAGGAUUUAGAACAGCACAUGGCACAUA